Molecule: ribosomal RNA, 252 nt
Filed under: uncultured bacterium
Lineage: Bacteria
Description: partial 16S ribosomal RNA
Rfam family: Bacterial small subunit ribosomal RNA
Source: RNAcentral
UACGUAGGUGGCAAGCGUUGUCCGGAUUUAUUGGGUUUAAAGGGUGCGUAGGCGGCCCUGUAAGUCAGUGCUGAAAUAUCCCGGCUUAACCGGGAGGGUGGCAUUGAUACUGCGGGGCUAGAGUACAGAUGAGGUAGGCGGAAUUGACGGUGUAGCGGUGAAAUGCUUAGAUAUCGUCAAGAACACCUAUAGCGAAGGCAGCUUACUAGGCUGUAACUGACGCUGAGGCACGAAAGUGUGGGAUCAAACAGG